RNAcentral lists this non-coding RNA (53 nucleotides) under Pseudomonas citronellolis. RNAcentral describes it as "Fluoride riboswitch". It matches the Rfam family "Fluoride riboswitch aptamer (crcB RNA motif)", at positions 10 to 62 of the family's 64-position model. The record is from RNAcentral. Lineage: Bacteria; Pseudomonadati; Pseudomonadota; Gammaproteobacteria; Pseudomonadales; Pseudomonadaceae.
CAGGAGAUGGCAUUCCUCCUCUAACCGCCCCCCGGCUGAUGAUGCCUACGCAU